RNAcentral lists this unclassified non-coding RNA (2002 nucleotides) under Hevea brasiliensis (rubber tree). Lineage: Eukaryota; Viridiplantae; Streptophyta; Magnoliopsida; Malpighiales; Euphorbiaceae. The record is from RNAcentral.
GCUAAUUGAAGUGUAUUAAGAGCAGUGCACAAAUAAAAAAUAAAAUAUGAAAGCAUAUUAUAUAAUUUUAGAGAUUUCAUCAUUAUUAUUAAUUGAUCGUCAUUAUAAAUAAAUUUUAGUUUUCUUUAGAAUUUACAGAUAUCUCCAUGAUUCAUUUAUGGCCGACUACAAAAGAAUGAAUGCAAGUCAUCUCCCUACGACACUUACAAUUCUUCCCUUAUCUACAACUCUUUCAACUUCUGCACUUUUUAAAAAAAUAAAAUAAAAAAAGAACAAAAAAAUUAAGUAAUUUUGAAUCGCUUAAAGUUUCUGACUUAAAGCGAAACACGGGUCUUUAUUGGCUUUAACUUCAAACCCAUGCUUUCAGGAGAGAGAAGCUCUGGCGAGAUGCAAGAUGGACUGAGUGGGCUCCUUGGGCUGCCACUGAAUUGGCAUGGCUUGUACAACCCAUAACCCAUGAAGAAGUACCCCAUAGGUAUUAACAUUGCAAGUGGCUGUUCUUCUGUUACCAUUGAUCCGCAAGCCUGGACCUAUACAAUUACAGGAUCUUUUGCAUAGUUAUUCAAAUAAUCAUCAGAAUAAAACAUCCAAUUUUCAAUAUAGCAGUUACUUUGAAGCUAAAGAAUUAACCAUAAACAAGGAUACAACAUGAAAUUUACCAAUUAAUAAAUAUCAUCAAUCAAGCAUAGAAUUGAAAUCCUUGCAUCUUAAGCAUUAUACAAACAUUCUUAAAAACUGUGACACGCACCUCAACCAAAGCACUAAAUUUUUUAUCCAACUUUGAGAUCAUGUGAAGAGCCUCAGAAUGGAAAGGAGAGUUAUCGCCAACAAAAACAAGAGUGCGACAUCUUAAUCUCUUCAACCCGCUAGUGAGAUCAGGUCUCCUGCAGGUUAGCGAGACAGUAGAACUUCAGAUAUCUAAAUUAUGCAGAUACAAGUGAGUAAUCCUUCACAAAAUUUCAUACCUAUUAAUUGCUUGGAGAAACCUCAAAACGUUUGUGCUCUGCCUCUCCUCAAGCAACUGAAAAAACAAACAAAUCAAAGAAUCAACUAAUUGCCACCUUUCUAAAAACCAUAAUAUAAAAAUGACUUCAAAAAAACAAAGAUAAAAAAUUAGAUCGAAGGUAAUGCACAAUUCAGCACUAACUUUUCUGCAUGCUUGAACUAUAUCUGAUUCCGGAGCUUCUGCAGUACCACGAACUUCCUGUUUCAAUUUUCUAUCUAAUCACUCAACCAAUCUAAACUGAGCAACUAUUUUAUUGCAUUGAAAAAUAAACAUUACUAGGUCAUGAAGCACUAGCAAUCUAGAAUACCUUGCUGAAGUACCGCUGAAGCAAAAACUCCUCAACCAAUCCACACAUGCCAUAGAAAUAUAGCAAAUUCGACAUCACCUGUGGAACAUUAAUUAUGUCAAUCACACGUGGAACAUAAACUAUGUCAAUCAAGAAAUGAAAAGCUACUGGUUUCCGGUAUUAAAUUAACAGUAACUUUUAGGAAGAGAAACCUUGUUAUAUAACCAUUCAGUCCAAGAGGGAGCUUUACAUAAAGGGGAUACAAGUAUCAAUCCAAGAACGCGCUCUCUAUAUUUCAUCUGUAAUGCAAAAUCUUGAUUAAUUAAAAAUGGUAGGAGACAUGUAGAAAAUAUUACUCACAACAUUCCAGGAAGGAACGUACGGCAAAUAGGGUAAGGACGUACGCACCGGCCAUCACCCCCAUGCACAUCACUGCACCAAGCCCAAAAAAAUUGAGAACCUCAAUGAUCUGAUCUGCUAAGUCAUCAACAGAAGGCACAGGAUCAUUGGGGCAAAUUGGAGCAGCUCCCAACUGCAAGAACUCUUGUACAAGUGCCAGAAAAGAAAAAAAUGUGACUAAUUUACCAGUUACAGGAUGCAUGAUGCUGUUAAAAGGUAAAAUAACUUAUGAUAACAGCUAAUAUAUCAUGCAAUCCCAUUCAGUCGACCAUUUACUGACCUCAUGUCCAGGAGGACUAAUGUGGUAAAUG